GAUAUACUCCUCCGUCCGAAAAUACUUGUCACCAAAAUGGAUAAAAGGGGAUGUAUCUAGACCUACGUCUAGAUACAUCCCCUUUUAUCCACGUCUAGGUACAUCCCCUUUUAUCCAUUUUGAUGACAAGUAUUUCCGGACGGAGAGAGUAUUUU
Triticum aestivum (bread wheat) is the source of this 155-nucleotide non-coding RNA. The record is from Rfam. NCBI's taxonomy places the organism in Eukaryota, Viridiplantae, Streptophyta, Magnoliopsida, Poales, Poaceae.